RNAcentral lists this transfer RNA (74 nucleotides) under Ixodes scapularis (black-legged tick). RNAcentral's name for it is "tRNA-Ile for anticodon AAU". It matches the Rfam family "tRNA". From Rfam's summary of the family: Transfer RNA (tRNA) molecules are approximately 80 nucleotides in length. Their secondary structure includes four short double-helical elements and three loops (D, anti-codon, and T loops). Further hydrogen bonds mediate the characteristic L-shaped molecular structure. tRNAs have two regions of fundamental functional importance: the anti-codon, which is responsible for specific mRNA codon recognition, and the 3' end, to which the tRNAs corresponding amino acid is attached (by aminoacyl-tRNA synthetases). tRNAs cope with the degeneracy of the genetic code in two manners: having more than one tRNA (with a specific anti-codon) for a particular amino acid; and 'wobble' base-pairing, i.e. permitting non-standard base-pairing at the 3rd anti-codon position. Lineage: Eukaryota; Metazoa; Arthropoda; Arachnida; Ixodida; Ixodidae. The record is from RNAcentral.
GGCCUGCUAGCUUAGUCGGUUAGAGCGUCGUGCUAAUAACGCGAAGGUCACAGGUUCGGUCCCUGUGCAGGCCA